Molecule: long non-coding RNA, 2633 nt
Organism: Apus apus (common swift)
Lineage: Eukaryota; Metazoa; Chordata; Aves; Apodiformes; Apodidae
Exons: 3
Source: RefSeq, a predicted model, not a curated record
CCCCCUGCCCGGAGCAGCAGCUGCCCCUCUCCUCCCCGCUCUUCUGCUCCGUCUCUACAUGAAACCGCUCAAGCGCCGGCUCUAAUAUCCUGCCCGAACGGUCUCCUGCUGCCUAAUGACACCUCUGGGACCUCCAUGAAAUCCUCCCCCAAUAAAAGCCCUGUUUCUGCCCCAGGAUGCACUUGUCAGAGCUUGGGGCGAGAGGUUCCUGAGCCUCCUUUCCUGCCACCACCCCGAGCACAGACACUGCAGCAAUGACCUGAUGCCACCACGGGAGUCACCCCGGGGUGGUGAAGCCAAGUUCUGCAGACAGGGACAGCCCAGCUGGGCUGCAGCUGCACCCAGCUGGGCCAGCAGCCAGCAAAGGCUCAUCCAACUCCUUCCCCGACCACUUCCAAAGGCCAGAGGGGUCUGAGCAGCCCCAGGUGAUAAUUCCCCCCUCUCCUCCCACCCCUGAAUACCCCACCAGAGCCCCCCGAAACAGCACGAGUUAAACACUCAGUCUGAGCCUGCAAACUUUUCAUUGAUUUUACUAAAAAGCACAGGUAAUUACUUUCCCGACAAAGACACUCACAUGGUAAUUGUAAGUUAUAAAUAACAAUGAAUAAAUAAUACACACUGGGAAAAUAUCAUCCUGGCUGUUCACGGCCAGGGCUGAGAGCAUAAAUUAAAGAGCUGCAAGGAAAAGCCAAGGAGGAGCAAAAAAAAACCAACAAAGGCCCCAGUGACCAUGGGCUGGGAUCAGUUUUGGAGCAGGGGAUGGGCCCUGGUGUGUGGCAGAGCCCAAGGAAGGCAGGGGGGGACCCUGCACUGCUGAGAAAAGUCCCUUGUGAGGGGGGUAAAGGGAGGAAAUUUGGGGUGGAAAUCAGACUCUGGGGUUGCUGCUGUUGACUUCAGUGACUUCACUUCCCUGGGAGCUGUUGGAGCUUCCCUUGGUGGGGCAGUUUCUGUGGGGUGGAGGGGAAUUCAUGGCAAUAAGACACCUUUUAGGAAACUGAUGCUAAUUUUUUUUUUUUCAAUGGGAAAAAAGGAAAAAGAGGAGCAGUAAGUGGUUUCGUUUGAAGUCUCUAGGCCAGCUGUGCUGAGAAAUUUUCAUCUUGGGACCACUUGGCAGGAGUGAAGCCCACGUCUAGAGAGCAGGAAGCUGAGGGCUCCCGUGGUCCUUGGGCUCCUGGUUCUCCUGGCAAUCGAUGGGAUUUGGGCACUUUAAAAGCUUUUAAGGAUGGAGUCCAAGGUCGGCUCUGGUGCAGCAGGCACCCGGGUGAGCUCUUUGCUCCCAUCCUCUGCUUGGAACCUCUGCCAGCUCCCAAACCACCCAUUUGUCCUCCGUGAUGGAGGGAUGGGAAGAUCAGCUCCGUCUCCAACCGCGGUUUAAAACCUGCUGAGCAUCUGCCCUGGCUGAGGAGCGAGUAGUAAAUGCCAGUGGCUCCAGGCUCAGCUGCCCACGGCAGAGUUUGGCCAUUCAGGGAAAAGUGCUCUCUUGAUCCAGACAGCUGGGGAGGGACUGUCACCAAAACCAGCCCCUUUUCCUUCUCCAGCCUUGUGCUGAGCUUUGGCUGCAGCCUGUGAGCACUGGGGAGUGCUCAGAAAAAGCAGCACCUCUGUGAGGAGCUGUUCCCACAGGGAUGGGGCUCAGUUGUUCCUACAGGGAUGGGGCUUAUUUAUUCCCACUGGGAAGGGGGUUCAGCCAGACCACAGCAUCCAAACCAGGCAGUGGGGAUGUUGCCCUCCUGACUCAGAGAGGGAGUUGACACCUUUUCUAAUGGUGGCCAAGCCAGGAUCCAACCACAGCUUCAGCCCUGUGGGCUGCCAGGAUGGAUGCAGGGUGCUGGAGCAGGUGAUGCUGGUGCAGGUGGAUCAGGGAAGGAUGAAUUGUCAGUGUUGGGGAUGUCCAUGGCAUCCGUGGGGUGGACUGAAGGACACGUGGGGCGUGUGGGUGGGUGCUUUGUGGAUUGAGGCCCCCCUGGUGAUGUUUAGGGGCUCCUGAGCAGGGAUUUCUCUUGGGUUUUGACCCCCUGAUAACCUCAAGGUGUGGAUGUGACCCAAAACCUCUGCUGGGGGAAGACUCCAAGCACCCCAAAAGCCCAUCUGUGGGGUGGGAGGGAUCCAGCAUUCCCCAAACUCACACAAAAAACUGACUUCCAUGACCAUCAAAGCGUCCCAAACCUGGUUUCAAUCACACUCCUUGAUUUCCACGCCUGUAAUUUCUCCUAAUGCCUCCCUCCAUCCUCCCCCCCCCCUUUUCCCUCUUGCUGAGCCGUACCCUGACAGCUCCCAGCCUCCCUCCCUUCCCUUUUUUCUUUCUUUAACUGUCUUCCCAGCGUGAUCCAUCACCCUGGCUGCAGCAGGGGGGGAUUCAUGGGAGAGGCUGAGAUGAAUCUCUGGUUCCUUAUAAGGCCCGAGCGAAGGAAUCUCCGGCGAGCGGAGCCCACGAUGUCCAGGAAACUCAAUCCCUCCUCGGGACAGAGCCCCAGGAAAAUCAUAAGGCAGUAAAAAUAGACCAUGGUUUGCCUCCCCGAGAGAGAAAGAAGGUUUUACACAAUUUAAAAUAGCCCUGGCAAGACCAGGCAGGGGGGUGGAGAAUAAUGGCUCCUCGUGGCACGUAUAAUAAAGGACAUAAAUACGUCCAGGGC